RNAcentral lists this long non-coding RNA (558 nucleotides) under Homo sapiens (human). Its description in RNAcentral is "novel transcript". The record is from RNAcentral. Lineage: Eukaryota; Metazoa; Chordata; Mammalia; Primates; Hominidae.
AAAAAAAAAAAAAAAAAAGAAAGAAAACUACAGGCGGGGACGGCUUCUCGUCUUUCAGGAGAUUGUCAUGGUUGAGAGACUGGACUGUACCUACCCACUAUGAAUGAGCAGAACACCAUAGCUAAUAUUAACUUUCUGCAGGCAAUUGAAAACACUGCCUCAGUAUCUGAACACAAGUAACAGAGUAUGCAAGAGGAGGAGACCUGCACAACUGGAUACACCCAGAAAUGUCCCUGGCUCAACAAGCCUUCCAGCAUGACCCUGUGUCUUCCCCCUCCACGCAGAGCACCAGCAACAGUAGUGCAGACCCAGAAACCUCCCUGGCUCAACAAGGCCCCCAGCAUGACCCCAUGGCCUUCCCCUCCACCCAGAGCACCUGUAGCAGUGGUGGAGUCCCAGAAAUGUCCCUGGCUCAACAAGCCUUCCAGUAUCAGCCUGUGGCCUUCUUCUCCACCCAGAGCACCAGCAGCAGUGGUGGAGACCCAGAAACAUCCCAGGCUCAACAAGCCGCCCAGCAUGACCCUGUGGCCUACCCCUAUACCCAGAGCAACAGCAGCA